CGGAGAGGCAGAGCCAAUAGCUGCUUUUCAUGCUCAGUGAGUCCGUCCACCUCCACCCCCCCUCGAGUCCUUAAGUUGCAGCUUUUAACUACCUCGGUGUUCAAAGAAAAUAUGAUGCUCAGCGUGAACAGAAGGAAGAGCCUGCUGACAGGUAGACAGCAUGGACACUGAUCCCGGCAGGGCCGGCUGCUGAGAGAGGUCUCUCGGGGGUGCUCCCACACCUCUCCUACUCCAGGUGAUGCCCCAAUUCACCUUCGCUUGCUUCUGCGGGCUCCAUGGCUUCUGCAAGAUGAAGAGGAAGAAAGAAGAGUCCAGCGCAGAGCAGGAGACAGUGGUGUGAAGAGCAGACUCGUGCGUGUGCCCUGCCAAGCCGUGCCUCGGGACCCUGUCCCCUUCCCAUCGAUACUUGCAUGGCCAGGGGAGAGACGAAGCUCAGGAAUGACCUUGCCAACAGGCAGAAGCAGAUGCUGUGGACGUUAUCCAGGUGCUGCAGCCAUUCUGCCCAGACACCCAGCCCGGUUGGGUGCUGAGCCCUCGGGACCCAAGCAGCCAGUAUUGGAGGGACCCUCCAUCCCAGCCAGGUAGAUAUUUCCCUCCUGAGGGAGCCAACCUGCCCUUGCUCCAAGUCUCAACAGACAGAGCCUGGAGGUGUUUUCAAAAGCCAGGGCCAGACCUUGUCCUUCCUGGAGUCAUAGUGCCAGAGAGGCUGGCCGCUGGCUGGUAAGUUGUCCUGCUGCUGCAGAAUUGGCUGAACGUAAAAAACAAGCUGGGUAGCUGGGUUUGGGUUUGUUUGGUGGUUGCUUUGUUGUUUUGUUUGGUUUUUUUUUUUGAAGUCUGUCUGAAGCAAAUGUCUGUGACUCCAAGAAGCCAUUCUCCAUGCCUCUGCCCUGCCUGGUCCCGUGGCUGCAGCACACCAGAGCGUUUGGAGGCACCAGACACGCCGACCCUGCUUGGACACUGCUCCUUGUGUGACUGGUACAGACUGGGAGCCCCCACGCCACGGGUAGGGGAGACACCUCAGUGCGUGACACCCACCUGCUGCACACCUGAGCAAUGAGGCUCAGGGGGAGCUUGUUCUUGUUUGGCAAAUGGGCCAAAAUCCCUGAGCUCGGGGCACCUGAGAUCCACUCCAGGGACAUUUCUAGCAUAAACGUGUUAUCCAGAGCAGAAAUCCUUAAAUUUUUCCAUACUGCGCUUCCCUUCUCCUUAUGGAGACCUCCUGAGCCUGGGGUCAGAAGCGAUGCCUGGGGCUGUCGAGCAGGAGCUGCUUGUCCUUAGGUUUAGUCCUGCUCCUGCCACCACCUCCUUCCAUGGUGGUCAAGUCUUGUGCCGUGUGGCUGUCCCCACGGUCCCCUUGUCUUCUCCACCCUGUCUGUGUGUCCUUCCCACCCACUUCUGAAGCCAUACAGGAGCUCCCUGCAUGCUGUGCCUUCCAGGAGGUGUCUCAGACAGACAUUCCCACUCCGAUACCCUCCAAAUAGCCCCAGGCUCUGCACACUGGAGAGCUGGCAUGUGGGGGUGAGCCAGUGUCCCCCGGGGGGUUUGGGGACUGCUGUUUGGGUCUCGGUGCCCAGUUCCCCAUCCCUGAAUGCAGCCAGCAUUUGAGAUUUCAUUUCAGCCACCAGCAGCCGCAAUGGGCCCAAGUGCUCCUGUUUGCAAGAUGUGCUGGGGAGCGGCAGGGACAGCCUCCAGGAAAGGGUAAAUGUUUGGGGGCAGCCAUGCCCGCUGCCCGUCAGCACAGGGAGGGGUAUUGACUUGAGCAGAUUGACACCCCUGAGGAGGGAUAAGCACACUCGGAGAACAAAUCCUCCCCCUGUGAUUAACUGGCUUGACCUUUCCAGGGUUUGCCCAGUGCUCCCAGACCAGAUUUGCACUUGGCAAACAGAGCUGUAUGUGCCACUGACAGCUCCCCUUCGGAGGAGAUUUGUUGGCUCAGCCAACAUCCCGAACCAACACAGCUAUUAUUUUAUUUUCUUAUCCAAAGGAUUUAGCACAAAAACCUGAGCCUGGCCAGAAGCACCAAUGACACGAGGUGUAGCUGAGGUGCUUUAAAUCCUCUCUGCUGGGUGCCCAUUGUCUGGCCUGCGGUGGGAAGCAGCUGACUGGUGUGGGAUGUGCUGCUUGGAGCCAACUCAGGGGUGGCAGCCAGCGGGGACCAGGCAUGGGGAACAGGCUGUGUGUGUGCAUCAGACCCGGGGUCAGGAGGCUUGGGGCACUUUGCUUUUUUUUCCCCUCUUUCAGCCCAAGUGAUGUGAGCUGGGGGGAUCCAGCCGUGCAGCCCCUGGGCAGUGUUCCCCAGCCGGGUAUUUCCCAUUUGGGCUCCAGGUUUUGUCACUGGAGAGGGCACAUGGUGACACGUGAGGUGCCCUGCGAGGGGCCAGCCGGGAGAGCGGUCUGGCUUCCCUGUCGUUUGUCACCAUCGAGCUCAGCAGAUUUCAGCCUGGCACAUGCAGAUCGGUGGAAAACGCUGUGGUUAGUGCCGGCUGUAAUGUCUCCUCUGGGACCUCUGGGGCUGCAUCAACCUUUUACUUAGGCAGCACAAGAGGAGCUGCUUCACUGAGGCAACAAGGGUGGCUGAGAUUAAUGCUGAUGCACCCACAUUUUGGCUUGGUUGAUGGUGCCCCACUCCUGGGGGGACACAAGCUGGGUCCCUGCUCAUGAUGAUCUGAGCAGGCAACACCCUUGUGAGCACAGUGUGAAGAGCUGGGGUUGUUCAGGCAGCAGGCACAUGCUCCAGAGAGACCAUCAAAAGCAGAGAUUUGGGGUAAAUCAUAGGCAGCUCCGCUCAGUCAGGCUUUGCAGAAGCUAAAGUAUUACUGUGGGGUUGAGGGGGGGUUGGCCCGGUUCAUUAGUGCAUAACCUUCGCUGCUAAACCUCUUGGACUGCAGAUCCGUUGUGGGUUGGCAGUUAAAGAUGUGCAGUCAACAGCCGCCCCGAGAUUUCAUGUCUAGGUGGAGGCUCAGCGUUGUGCUGAGAGCAGCUCUGGAGAUGAGGUCGGCGUGUGAUGGGAUGGGGCUUCAGGGGCUCCCAGUUGUGGUGGGAGACCCCCCCUGGCUGGUCUGGGCUGAGCUGGGAGCUCUGCUGGAAACACGAGCCGUCCUCGCGUUGGGCAUGCUGUGCACAUGUUGCACAUGAUGCACCCACAGCGCACAUGCUACGCACACGCUAUGCACAUGCUGUACACGGUGCACACGCGGUGCAUGCACCGCACACGCCGUGUGCAUGUGGCAGCUCUGUGCCUGUUUAGGUUUUCCCUGCGUCUCAAAUAUUCCUGCCUCCAGUGAGGGGUUCCCGAGCCAGAUGUUUGAUGAACGUAGCACGUACAUCCGAGACAGGCAGACACUCACCCCCACCCAUUAUAUGUGCAUUUGAAAACACAAUAAAUGAAGCAAGUGCAGUAUGAAUGUUAAAGCGCUUGAGCUACAGCUAUUUUUAAAGAGAACUUCCCACCUCCCUGGAUGGAUGUAGCUCUCAAAGCAACAAUAUGUUUUCCACCAUGGCUCCAAGCAAAAUGGUUUGCUCCUGGAUUGACCUCUAUUGUGUUCAUAAAUGGCUUGUGGUGCUUUUUGAUUCCCCCAUCAUAAUGACUUGACCUCUAGAUUUACGGCUGAAGGUCCUUUCAUCUGCACAUUGUUUCCCACCAGACUCCAGCCUGGCGCUUUUCUGUAGCAAACCUGCCAAGAGCUGAGCCCCUCCGAGCCGCCCAGCCAGCUUCCACUGACAAAUUUGCAGUGGGAAAAAGCAAACGGUUUUAGUUUGGAUUUUUUUUUUUUUUCUCUUUUUCCAGUGGCCACAUUUUAAUAGGGCAGCAUAUGCUUCUGAGCCUGAGAAGGCUGGGCAGUUGACAGCUCUUGUCACAGUACAAACACUCUCUCCCUGUUUCUUUUUCUCUCUCCCCCAUGUUUGCACAACCCUUGUUUUUCUUAUAAACAGUUUGCUUAUUGUUCCGGAAUUCCUCUUACCCUCCCAAGUUCACACACUCAGCCUUUGACUCUUCCACUCCACUUUUGCUUUGCCACUCCAGCAGCAACUACACCUGAGCAAUACCGUAGUAGAUAAAACUUACUAAUGUCAUGGCAGUGAGCUAUAA
Long non-coding RNA from Tyto alba (common barn owl), 4090 nucleotides. RefSeq lists it as uncharacterized. The record is from RefSeq and is a predicted model, not a curated record. The transcript is spliced from 3 exons. NCBI's taxonomy places the organism in Eukaryota, Metazoa, Chordata, Aves, Strigiformes, Tytonidae.